This 611-nucleotide ribosomal RNA is filed under the name uncultured bacterium. RNAcentral's name for it is "bacterial SSU rRNA". It matches the Rfam family "Bacterial small subunit ribosomal RNA", at positions 834 to 1446 of the family's 1533-position model. The record is from RNAcentral.
CGGGGCUUAGUGCCGGAGCUAACGCAAUAAGCACUCCGCCUGGGGAGUACGACCGCAAGGUUGAAACUCAAAGGAAUUGACGGGGGCCCGCACAAGCGGUGGAGCAUGUGGUUUAAUUCGAAGCAACGCGAAGAACCUUACCAGGUCUUGACAUCCCGAUGCUAUUCUUAGAGAUAGGAAGUUACUUCGGUACAUCGGAGACAGGUGGUGCAUGGUUGUCGUCAGCUCGUGUCGUGAGAUGUUGGGUUAAGUCCCGCAACGAGCGCAACCCUUAUUGUUAGUUGCCAUCAUUAAGUUGGGCACUCUAGCGAGACUGCCGGUAAUAAACCGGAGGAAGGUGGGGAUGACGUCAAAUCAUCAUGCCCCUUAUGACCUGGGCUACACACGUGCUACAAUGGUCGGUACAACGAGUUGCGAGCCGGUGACGGCAAGCUAAUCUCUGAAAGCCGAUCUCAGUUCGGAUUGGAGGCUGCAACUCGCCUCCAUGAAGUCGGAAUCGCUAGUAAUCGCGGACCAGCACGCCGCGGUGAAUACGUUCCCGGGCCUUGUACACACCGCCCGUCACACCACGAGAGUUUGUAACACCCGAAGUCGGUGAGGUAACCUUUUAG